AGUAGAGUCAGCUAAGCAAGCUAUUGGGCCCAUACCCCAAAAAUGUUAUACACCAACCUCUACUA
Molecule: transfer RNA, 65 nt
Filed under: Rena humilis (western threadsnake)
Lineage: Eukaryota; Metazoa; Chordata; Lepidosauria; Squamata; Leptotyphlopidae
Description: Met-tRNA
Source: RNAcentral